This is a non-coding RNA of Pelobates cultripes (western spadefoot toad), 218 nucleotides long. Lineage: Eukaryota; Metazoa; Chordata; Amphibia; Anura; Pelobatidae. The record is from the annotation of a GenBank genome assembly.
UUAUGAGGAGAUGAGUGUUGAAGAUAAAGUUCCCCACACUGUUAAGAACCUGUUCAUCGAUCUGGCUGAGAGUAUUGCAAGUAGUCUUAAUAUAACUAACUGCUUUGUAUGUGGAGGUACAAAUAUGGGAGACCAAUGGCCAUGGGAAGCAAGAGAAGUAUGGUACCCUGGUUCUGAGACAAAUGAGCAACAGAUGCCUUCCCACUCCAGUAAUCAAG